CCAUAGUUCUAUGAAGAUGCAGAUAAUGAACUCACCAUGUCUAAAUAACUGGAGCUGAGGCAAAGAAUUAGUAUCGUAUUGGAUGCGAUUGUCCUCAACAAAAACUGCAAACUUGGCGUUUCCAUUACCUUCUUCUCCAGACAUUUUCCUGAAAAUAACACAAGAAAUAUUGAUCCAAGCACCUAUAGUGCAUGUUUGGUUCGCGGUACGAGACAUGACAAGACAGCAUAAUAAACAACAUUCAAGCUUGUUUAUAUGUGAGAUCCAUCCUACAAAACAGGCCAUUAAUUUAAAUUCCAGCCAUGAUGCCCAAAAGAUGAAACAUUUAGCAGCCAAAAAUCACAUAGAACUAAGGAAAUGAUCGUAACACCAUAAAACGAGCAAUCUUGAUUUAACUGAUCGAGAUAUAGUCAAAAUUCAUUAAAACGAAGCACAAAAGCACUAAAACAACUAUACGAUCCAGAUUUUAGAAGGCAAAACUCACAGAACUAAAAGGAACAAUCUUCAAUGACACCACAAAACAUGUAAUUUUGCGUUAACUUAAGCAGACUACAAUCUGUAGAAAGAAAUGCAGUAAUACUGACUAUAUGCAAAUUAAACAGCCCACGAAUUCAAGAAACAUUCAACUCACGUUCUUCAAUUUUUUGAGCUUUGAUCAUCAAGAAAUGAAUACUACAGAAGCACUUAAAUGGCUAUUUCAACAUCCAAAUAGGAAAGUGCCCCAGGAAAAAAAAGAAAAAAAAAUCAAUUUUCCAAUAAAUUAACUCCAACCAACAACCAUAAAAUCAACUGACAGAAAAGAAAAAUCCAACAACCAUACUAAUCAAAUGAGCAAAAAUAAAUAAAUCACCAGUAUCAGCUCAGAUUUAGAUAAUCAAUAGGCAAUAGCUAUUUCAACAAUCCCAAUUAUCGCAGAAAAGGGGAAAAUCGAUUUUCCUAUAAAUCAACUGAAAGAAAGAAAAUCCAACAAUCAUACAAAUCAUAUGAGUGAAAAACACUCACCAAAUCAGUUCAGAUUUAGAUAACCAAUAACUUCAAAAGUAAGGUUAUUCUUUAAAAGGGUCUUCUUCUUCUUCUUUUUCUUGUUUGAUGAAAAAUGUGGAAAGGGAUGGCAAUAAUAACGAUAGAGAGAAGAAGCAAAUGAGAAUAAUGAAAUUGGAUGGUGGUGGAGGAGGAGUGGUUGAUGUUUCGGUUAAGAAAAACGAUUCCAUUCGUUGGUAUUGGUGUUGGUAGUGUGAGGAAGCGAAGAAGAGUGAGAAGAGGACAUGUAAUUGGAGAAAUAUUCUUCAUUUUUUAAGGCUAAAGUUCUCUCUUUCCACCCUACUUCUGGCUGUAUUGCAGCUUGCUUUUCGUUAUCUUCACCAGUUAAUUUUGUUUGUUUUCUUGUUUUGCUUGGAUUACUGGUUUUCGUUGGUUUCACCACAAAUUGACCUUUAAUUAAUGGAGAAAAAUAUU
This 1455-nucleotide long non-coding RNA is filed under the name Olea europaea (common olive). Its description in RNAcentral is "long non-coding RNA (OEUR_LNC010554)". The record is from RNAcentral. Lineage: Eukaryota; Viridiplantae; Streptophyta; Magnoliopsida; Lamiales; Oleaceae.